This 253-nucleotide ribosomal RNA is filed under the name uncultured bacterium. Its description in RNAcentral is "partial 16S ribosomal RNA". It matches the Rfam family "Bacterial small subunit ribosomal RNA", at positions 524 to 776 of the family's 1533-position model. The record is from RNAcentral.
UACGUAGGUGGCAAGCGUUGUCCGGAUUUACUGGGCGUAAAGGAUGCGUAGGCGGAUGUUUAAGUCAGAUGUGAAAGCCCCGGGCUCAACCUGGGAAUUGCAUUUGAGACUGCGUAGCUAGGGUGCGGAAGAGGGAAGCGGAAUUUCCGGUGUAGCGGUGAAAUGCGUAGAUAUCGGAAGGAACACCAGUGGCGAAAGCGGCUUCCUGGUCCAGCACCGACGUUCAGGCACGAAAGCGUGGGGAGCAAACAGG